AUUAGCUCAGCUGGUAGAGCAUCUGACUUUUAAUCAGAGGGUCAGAGGUUCGAAUCCUCUAU
Molecule: transfer RNA, 62 nt
Filed under: Staphylococcus aureus
Lineage: Bacteria; Bacillati; Bacillota; Bacilli; Caryophanales; Staphylococcaceae
Rfam family: tRNA
About the family: Transfer RNA (tRNA) molecules are approximately 80 nucleotides in length.
Source: RNAcentral